CUAUUAUGGAGAGUUUGAUCCUGGCUCAGGACGAACGCUGGCGGCGUGCCUAAUACAUGCAAGUCGAGCGAAUUUAUCCUUCGGGAUAAGUUAGCGGCGGACGGGUGAGUAACACGUAGGUAACCUGCCUAUAAGAUCGGGAUAACUAUCGGAAACGAUAGCUAAGACCGGAUAACUGGUUUUCUCGCAUGAGAGAACUAUGAAACACGGAG
This 212-nucleotide ribosomal RNA is filed under the name Paenibacillus sp. yr247. Its description in RNAcentral is "16S rRNA. Bacterial SSU". It matches the Rfam family "Bacterial small subunit ribosomal RNA", at positions 1 to 213 of the family's 1533-position model. Lineage: Bacteria; Bacillati; Bacillota; Bacilli; Caryophanales; Paenibacillaceae. The record is from RNAcentral.